UCUCACAGACACAUACAGGUCUACAAACAGGUUCUCACAGACACAUACAGGUGUACAAACAGGUUCUCACAGACACAUACAGGUGUACACACAGGUUCUUACAGACACAUACAGGUGUACACACAGGUACUCACAGACACAUACAGGUGUACAAACAGGUUCUCACAGACACAUACAGGUGUACACACAGGUUCUCACAGACACAUACAGGUGUACACACAGGUACUCACAGACACAUACAGGUGUACAAACAGGUUCUCACAGACACACACAGGUGUACACACAGGUACUCACAGACACACACAGGUGUACAAACAGGUUCUCACAGACACACACAGGUGUACACACAGGUACUCACAGACACACACAGGUGUACAAACAGGUUCUCACAGACACACACAGGUGUACAAACAGGUUCUCACAGACACACACAGGUGUACAAACAGGUUCUCACAGACACAUACAGGUGUACACACAGGUUCUCACAGACACAUACAGGUGUACAAACAGGUUCUCACAGACACAUACAGGUGUACACACAGGUUCUCACAGACACAUACAGGUGUACACACAGGUACUCACAGACACACACAGGUGUACAAACAGGUUCUCACAGACACAUACAGGUGUACACACAGGUUCUCACAGAC
Brienomyrus brachyistius is the source of this 650-nucleotide long non-coding RNA. RefSeq lists it as uncharacterized. The record is from RefSeq and is a predicted model, not a curated record. The transcript has 3 exons. NCBI's taxonomy places the organism in Eukaryota, Metazoa, Chordata, Actinopteri, Osteoglossiformes, Mormyridae.